Non-coding RNA from Acanthosepion pharaonis, 115 nucleotides. Lineage: Eukaryota; Metazoa; Mollusca; Cephalopoda; Sepiida; Sepiidae. The record is from the annotation of a GenBank genome assembly.
UUACGAACAUAUCACGUUGAAACCCCUAGUUCCCGUCCGAUCACCGAGGUUAAGCAACGUCGAUCCUGGUCAGUACCUAAAUGAGUGACUGCUUGGUAAUUCCAGGCGCUGUAAG